RNAcentral lists this ribosomal RNA (160 nucleotides) under Picipes cf. virgatus CulTENN11530. RNAcentral describes it as "5.8S ribosomal RNA". It matches the Rfam family "5.8S ribosomal RNA". Rfam says of the family: 5.8S ribosomal RNA (5.8S rRNA) is a component of the large subunit of the eukaryotic ribosome. It is transcribed by RNA polymerase I as part of the 45S precursor that also contains 18S and 28S rRNA. Functionally, it is thought that 5.8S rRNA may be involved in ribosome translocation. The record is from RNAcentral. RNAcentral also lists the same sequence under 2 other names. Lineage: Eukaryota; Fungi; Basidiomycota; Agaricomycetes; Polyporales; Polyporaceae.
ACAACUUUCAGCAACGGAUCUCUUGGCUCUCGCAUCGAUGAAGAACGCAGCGAAAUGCGAUAAGUAAUGUGAAUUGCAGAAUUCAGUGAAUCAUCGAAUCUUUGAACGCACCUUGCGCUCCUUGGUAUUCCGAGGAGCACACCUGUUUGAGUGUCAUGAA